CAGCUCAGUUUAUGAAUCCAGUCAUCACAGAAACCACAGAACAUCAUAACCCAUGGGCACAGAUAAGCAAGAUGCAAUGUGUAGAUGAAACAGCUGGCUUUCCCAGUAAGGCCUUUCAUGCCAAUAAUACGUUUUGAGUAUUUCACCUUGCUUUUCCUGUGAGGUCAGGAGCGAUCCUCACAUUUUAGUGGAUGAUAUCAUGAGGUUUGUUUGUUGGCAGAGCUUCUCGUGUCAAUAAAUACAGAUACUGCAUUGCCGAGUAUACUGCACUGGGGAUUGAUAAUGGCUGCAAACAGAUUGCUGUCAGUGUAAGUAUGCCCAUAUAGUAGUUACAGCCCAGUGUGCUCAUUGAUAACAGCCAUGUUUUACAACCUGCCUGCACAGGUUGUUUAAAAAAAAAAAAACCAACAAACAAAUCUGUACAAUCUCAUGCACAUUUAAAAGUGAUUUGCAGCUUUAAAAAUUUGAUUAAAUGCACUAAAACAAAUCAUGGGACAUAAGACCUGAAGCAGUAAUUCAGUGCUGUCUGGCACAAGAGCCUUUGUGCAGAAGGGUUAGCUUCACAUUUUGGAAACUGCCUCAGAAGUCCAGGGGUGGAGGAGUGAGUUGGACAAGUUGGUGACUUAUAACACAGCUAUUAAAAUGUGUUUUUCAAAUAAAACGUUUUGAUGUAGAAACUCAGAGAAAUGGAUGAGACCAAGGACCAAUGUUUUCUGGAAACACUGCAUCUGUGUGCCUGAAAGAUUAUUUUUAAAGAACGCUACAGAUUUCUUGGAAAUUGAAAAGGAAAGAUAUUUUCUCUAUAAUUUACACAAAGGGUUAACAGCCGGAGUUUAGGCUACGUACAGUCCGUGUGGGCGUCCUUUCAGUCCGUGAUUCCAGGUGGAAGGCACUACUUCAACAUACCACCGUGUGCACCGCGCGAUUCCAGAAGCACAGUGGAGUGCUGUGUCUCCGAAGCUGUGGACUGAAGGGCCUGGGGGAAGUCUUUGGAAAUAAAAAUGGCAGUGGUUAUCA
This 1017-nucleotide long non-coding RNA is filed under the name Phasianus colchicus (ring-necked pheasant). RNAcentral describes it as "lncRNA (ENSPCLG00000015156.1)". The record is from RNAcentral. Lineage: Eukaryota; Metazoa; Chordata; Aves; Galliformes; Phasianidae.